This 253-nucleotide ribosomal RNA is filed under the name uncultured bacterium. Its description in RNAcentral is "partial 16S ribosomal RNA". It matches the Rfam family "Bacterial small subunit ribosomal RNA", at positions 524 to 776 of the family's 1533-position model. The record is from RNAcentral.
UACGAAGGGGGCUAGCGUUGCUCGGAAUCACUGGGCGUAAAGCGCACGUAGGCGGAUUGUUAAGUCAGGGGUGAAAUCCCGGAGCUCAACUCCGGAACUGCCUUUGAUACUGAGGAUCUUGAGUUCGGGAGAGGUGAGUGGAACUGCGAGUGUAGAGGUGAAAUUCGUAGAUAUUCGCAAGAACACCAGUGGCGAAGGCGGCUCACUGGCCCGAUACUGACGCUGAGGCACGAAAGCGUGGGGAGCAAACAGG